AACGAACGCUGGCGGCAUGCCUAACUCAUGCCAGUCGAACGAGACCUUCGGGUCUAGUGGCGCACGGGUGCGUAACGCGUGGGAACCUGCCCUUAGGUUCGGAAUAACUCCCCGAAAGGGGUGCUAAUACCGGAUAAUGUCUUCGGACCAAAGAUUUAUCGCCUUUGGAUGGGCCCGCGUUGGAUUAGCUAGUUGGUAGGGUAAAAGCCUACCAAGGCGACGAUCCAUAGCUGGUCUGAGAGGAUGAUCAGCCACACUGGGACUGAGACACGGCCCAGACUCCUACGGGAGGCAGCAGUGGGGAAUAUUGGACAAUGGGCGAAAGCCUGAUCCAGCAAUGCCGCGUGAGUGAUGAAGGCCUUAGGGUUGUAAAGCUCUUUUACCCGGGAUGAUAAUGACAGUACCGGGAGAAUAAGCUCCGGCUAAUUCCGUG
Molecule: ribosomal RNA, 433 nt
Filed under: uncultured bacterium
Lineage: Bacteria
Description: partial 16S ribosomal RNA
Rfam family: Bacterial small subunit ribosomal RNA
Source: RNAcentral